This is an RNA transcript of Myotis lucifugus (little brown bat), 4217 nucleotides long. It is a transcript of the gene named growth hormone receptor-like, with no coding region annotated. NCBI's taxonomy places the organism in Eukaryota, Metazoa, Chordata, Mammalia, Chiroptera, Vespertilionidae. The transcript is spliced from 3 exons. The record is from RefSeq and is a predicted model, not a curated record.
GGAGUGGAAGGGGUGCCUCCAGCCUGAUUUAGGGGGACAUGGGGAGGCCUGCAGGGGAAGGGGCUUGGCAGGCGGAAGCUGCUGUCACAUGGUCGGGUAUCCGUGGGAGCUAUGCAGGCUGCAACAGAACUUGGAAGGCCUAGGAAGGCGUGGGUGCUUUCCACACAGGUCAAAGGGCAGGCGGAGCUGGGCUCACGUGUGGACUUAAGACCCAUUUGAGGCAGCCGGCUUUCAGGUGGGUCUUGUCCUGUCACCCCCAGGCUGGUCUCUCAGAAGCAGUGCGUGCAUAGGAUCUUUGCUUUCCCAACUGCUUCACUUUCCUUAAAGGCAGAUGCUCUUCCAGCUCAGGCUAAUGGAGAGAAGACGAGUGAGGACUGGUGCACCCUGUGAUCGUUUCUCAGUACCGGGUCCGGUUCCCCCCUCCGCACCCCUCCCCAGUGGCGGAAACCUGUCAGGACUGUGGCACUGAACUUUGGGGGUGCCGUCUAAGAAGCACUUGGGUUGGCAGGGUUGUUUCAGCAUCGGAGGUCUCCACACCUCUCUCUCUGAGAUUCUGCCCCCCGACGCUGCCUGCUUCAGCGCCCUCCGCAUCCUCACUACCAGGCCUCCACUGCCAUCCCCAGCCACGCCUGCCCUCCCAGGAGACCUCCAGACCCGGGCCUUUCUUUCCACCUUGGCACCUGUGUGCCUGUGCCCCACCCAUGGCAUGGAAAGAAUCAGAUGAAGUAAUUUAUGCCGAGGUGUCAGUAGCUGGGUACUAUUCUGUGAUCAUUCUGUGACUGGGAUAAUUCUCUCAAGGGUAUGUUCAUUUUCAAUGGAAACCAUGAUUCAUCCAGGUGAAUACAUUUCUAACAGCACAAUUUCUGUUCCGUGUCCGCUGGUAUGGACAUUUUGGGGGCCCAUGGAGUCUUCCCCCAGUCCCUCAGGUCAUACCCUGGGGGAAUUCCUCAUCCAGCUCCCCAGAUGUUCCUUGUAAAGUUAUAGCAUUCAAUCAUUUUGUCUUAGGAGACAUUUAUCUUCACACCUUUGCCAAAAUUCAUUGAAAUCGGUGAAAAUAAAAAAGGGGGGGUUUUUAGCUGCCACUUUAUUUCAGGUUGUUAAACCAGCCUCCAUUUGAACUGAAGAUACCUCUGACAUCCUUACGUAUAGAAUUCUCAAACUUCGGGAAACAUCUGUUAACCGAAAUUAUGAAGUAACGCCAGGUGGAUGAGUUGAUACAGACAGAUACCUUAGUUGACAAAAGGAAAUGAGUUCUGAGAUUCUCCAUGAAGGCCAACCAGUUUCCAAGUGGAAAACCUGGUUUCUGCCCUCGAAGUUUUGUUAUCAGUUUGUCAUUGAGAAGCAAGGAGUGAUGGGGACAUCGUUCUUGUGAAGAUGCCAGUUCAUUAUGCAAGCAUUAUAUAUUGUUACAAAGCAAUGGAUACUGCGUAAGCAUUUCUAGAAAUCAAUGUUGGACUUAGAUUUCCAGCUGUGUGACUCCAUGCUAUCCUUUUCUUAGAUGUAGAUGCCUCGUGAUAAGUACUAAAUCUCUAAGUCUACUUAGCACCUAGCAAAGUGUGUUGUGUAAAGCAGGCAGUUAAUAAGUGCAUAUUUAAUGAGCCAGUAUAGUUUUGGUUUUGCUAUGUUUUCCUUAGGAUGUAGGGGUUAAGCCGAGGGAAGCUGUCUCUUAGAAGCUCUUAGAUGUGAAUAUUGAUAUCAAAGUAACUGUGCUUGCAUAAACAAACAAGCACAUUCAACGGCUUUGGUGAACAGGUAGAUAGGUAUAUGUAGAUAUAGCUCCAGAGCCCACCUGUAUGCAAGGUGCUGAGCAGUGGGCAGGGAGGAAGUGCGAGACGCUGUUACUUCAGUCUCCCUUGCCUGCUUGGAUCCUAGACUUACACUGGUACAGUGACCUGCUAAGGAGGCCAGGAAAGCGGUUGCCCUGCUGAGGAUACUAGUAUUUCCGAAGGCCACUCGCUGGAAUGUAACACCUGGGCCUGGAAUCUAAAGUGAGGCCCCGCACCCCCUCCCCCCCCUCCGAGAGAGAUCAUCCGCAUUUUCUACUUGGGGGGAAUUCCCUUAACUGGAAGUGGAUGGUUUCAGAUACCCAUGACCAUGGAAAGAAUCAGAUGAAGUAAUUUAUGCAGAGGUGUCAGUAGCUGGGUACUAUUCUGUGAUCAUUCUGUGACUGGGAUAAUUCUCUCAAGGGUAUGUUCAUUUUCAUUGGGAAACUGGAUUCAUCCAAGUGAAUACAUUUCUAACAGCACAAUUUCUGUUCUGUGUCAGCUGGUAUGGACAUUUUGGAGGCCAAGGGAGUCUUCCCUCAGCCCCUCAGGCCAUGCUCUGGGGAAAUUCCUCAUCCAGCUCCCCAGAUGUUCCUUUUAAAGUUAUAGCAUUCAGUCAGUUUGUCUUAGGAGACAUUUAUCUUCAGACCUUUGCCAAAAUUCAUUAAAGUAAGUGAAAAUAAAACCCCACUUCCAAACCCCACUUCCUCUUUCGAAUUGAGUAGGCUCAUAACCAUUCUCAAGGCUUUGAAAGGGUGAGGGAGAGAAAGGGAGAAACAUCAAUAGGCUGACUCCUGCACACCCCCUACUGGGGAUGGAGCCUGCAACCCAGGCAUGUGCCCUGACCAGGAAUCGAACCGGCGACCUCUUGGUGCAUGGGUCAACACUCAACCACUGAGCCACACCAGCCUGGCUAUAAUAAUAGUUUUGACUUGUGGACCAACCAACGUACAGCAUACCCAUAACAUAUUCCCUAACAUCUAGAAAUUUACCAUCUAAGGCCCAAAAGAAAUACUAAUAAUUCUGGUUUAACAGUGCUUCCUGCAAGAAUCCUAAAAGUCUAGAUUCUUAGAAGCCAGAAUACAGUCAUCAGCCACUUGGUUCUAUCUCCUCUCUUAGCACCCACCCUGGAGCACUGCUUCAGUGAUUUUCAUUCCAUGAGAAGCAGCCCUGUGAAAUGUUUCACCAGAAUCGUGGCAGUGAUGUGGAUGCACUGUUCCCUUUUAUAAUGAUCCGUGGGAGAAAUGCCCAAUGCUAUCGUCAAAGCUCUGCUUCUCCUCAGAACCUGCCAUACCAGCUGUCCUCAACAGAGCAUCCCAGAGUCUACAAAUAGUUAAUCCUGGCCCACUGACAAAACCAGAUGGCAGUUGGAAAUGCCGUGCUCGUGAAUUUCAGAGAUCUGGGUCAAAUCUUACCUCUACCUCUUACCGGCUGAAUGAACUUGGGUAAGACAUUUAGCCUCUUAGAGUCUUUUAUUCCCCACCUACAAAGUGGGGAUAAUAGUGUCUUCUGUGGUUGCCUGGAGCAUUAAAUGUAUGAGUUUCUGGAACGUGGUCACAUGCAGUGUUAGCGGAAUCUGACCCAUUGCCCUGCCCCCCACGUGAGCAAGGCCAUGUCCCAAAAGACCCAAGACACGUUCUUUUCCAGAUGAAGAUUUACCAUCUCUCCUUAAAUGUCUGCAAUUUGUGCGUUUAAUUUCCUUUAUGAACCAGAAGUUGUCUUGCAUCUGACUGAAGUUCACCACAUGAACAUAACACUGCCUUUCACAUGUGAGCCCUUUGAGGCCAGGGCCAGCAGGAAAACCUCUGAGCUGUUCUUUUCUCCUUUUCUGGUUACAAAAAACAGCAUGUUGUUCCUGAAAGUGGAGGGCCAAUAGUAUACAAAUCAACUAGGAGAAUCAAAAAUAGCCAUUCCUAAGCCCCUCCCAGAGAACCUGCUGUGUUAGGUCUGGGGUGGAGCCCAGGAACCUGGGUGUCUGUCCAGCUCCCAGGUGUCCUGGUGUGGGCAGAGCAGACCCCUAGGACUACAGGCUGAGAACACUGACCUGUAGAAAGGGAUGUGCCUUCUGUAGCAGAGUUCAUGCAGACCACUGAUCAUGGCCUCGGCCAAGCUCUGCAAAGAGAGGGGAGCCAACAUAGAAGAAAACCGGCAGGGCCAUGGAAACCCCUUACCCGGGAGGGAAACUCCCCUUGGCCUGCUCCCAAAUGCCAGACUGUGUUCUUCAUACCUGCGUCAACGUUUCAUUUUUAAGCCAUUCCUCAUUCUCCUUUAACAAUUCAAAAUAGUGAACAUAGUUUUGGUAAUUCUCAUGCUUACGAGUGGUAUCUGAUGGGCAGAUGCCUCCUCUCUAUUAUUUCUUUCCCCUUUGUUUGUGCUUCCAACAGAGCCAUCCUUUAAGGAUGAAGGCACUUGGAGAGUGGGUUUUAACAGGAUAAGGAGCCCCGGUCUGAGCCU